GACGAACGCUGGCGGCGUGCUUAACACAUGCAAGUCGAACGGAAAGGCCCUGCUUUUGUGGGGUGCUCGAGUGGCGAACGGGUGAGUAACACGUGAGUAACCUGCCCUUGACUUUGGGAUAACUUCAGGAAACUGGGGCUAAUACCGGAUAGGAGCUCCUGCUGCAUGUUGGGGGUUGGAAAGUUUCGGCGGUUGGGGAUGGACUCGCGGCUUAUCCGCUUGUUGGUGGGGUAGGGGCUUACCAAGGCUUUGACGGGUAGCCGGCCUGAGAGGGUGACCGGCCACAUUGGGACUGAGAUACGGCCCAGACUCCUACGGGAGGCAGCAGUGGAGAAUAUUGCACAAUGGGCGGAAGCCUGAGGCAGCAACGCCGCGUGCGGGAUGACGGCCUUCGGGUUGUAAACCGCUUUCGCCGGUGACGAAGCGUGAGUGACGGUAAUGGGUAAAGAAGCACCGGCUAACUACGUG
This 468-nucleotide ribosomal RNA is filed under the name uncultured bacterium. RNAcentral describes it as "partial 16S ribosomal RNA". It matches the Rfam family "Bacterial small subunit ribosomal RNA", at positions 28 to 507 of the family's 1533-position model. The record is from RNAcentral.